GGCCCCGUGGCUCAACUGGAUAGAGCAAUCCCCUCCUAAGGGAUAGGUUAGUGGUUCGAAUCCACUCGGGGUCACCA
This 77-nucleotide transfer RNA is filed under the name Roseicyclus sp. Its description in RNAcentral is "tRNA-Arg". It matches the Rfam family "tRNA". Rfam says of the family: Transfer RNA (tRNA) molecules are approximately 80 nucleotides in length. Their secondary structure includes four short double-helical elements and three loops (D, anti-codon, and T loops). The record is from RNAcentral. Lineage: Bacteria; Pseudomonadati; Pseudomonadota; Alphaproteobacteria; Rhodobacterales; Roseobacteraceae.